UAGGGAAUCUUCCACAAUGGACGCAAGUCUGAUGGAGCAACGCCGCGUGAGUGAAGAAGGUUUUCGGACCGUAAAGCUCUGUUGUUGGUGAAGAAGGAUAGAGGUAGUAACUGGCCUUUAUUUGACGGUAAUCAACCAGAAAGUCACGGCUAACUACGUGCCAGCAGCCGCGGUAAUACGUAGGUGGCAAGCGUUGUCCGGAUUUAUUGGGCGUAAAGCGAGCGCAGGCGGAAGAAUAAGUCUGAUGUGAAAGCCCUCGGCUUAACCGAGGAAUUGCAUCGGAAACUGUUUUCUUGAGUGCAGAAGAGGAGAGUAGAACUCCAUGUGUAGCGGUGGAAUGCGUAGAUAUAUGGAAGAAUACCAGUGGCGAAGGCGGCUCUCUGGUCUGCAACUGACGCUGAGGCUCGAAAGCAUGGGUAGCGAACAGGAUUAGAUACCCUGGUAGUCCAUGCCGUAAACGAUGAGUGCUAGGUGUUGGGAGGCUUCCGCUUCUCAGUGCUGCAGCUAACGCAUUAAGCACUCCGCCUGGGGGAGUACGACCGCAAGGUUGAAAC
RNAcentral lists this ribosomal RNA (554 nucleotides) under uncultured bacterium. Its description in RNAcentral is "partial 16S ribosomal RNA". It matches the Rfam family "Bacterial small subunit ribosomal RNA", at positions 355 to 900 of the family's 1533-position model. The record is from RNAcentral.